This 424-nucleotide ribosomal RNA is filed under the name uncultured bacterium. RNAcentral describes it as "bacterial SSU rRNA". It matches the Rfam family "Bacterial small subunit ribosomal RNA", at positions 358 to 773 of the family's 1533-position model. The record is from RNAcentral.
GGAAUUGUUCGCAAUGGGCGAAAGCCUGACGACGCAACGCCGCGUGGAGGACGAAGAUCUUCGGGUCGUAAACUCCUUUCGAUCGGGAAGAAUGGCUUCCGGGUUAACAGCCCGGAGGAAUGACGGUACCGACAGGAGAAGCCCCGGCUAACUCUGUGCCAGCAGCCGCGGUAAUACAGAGGUGGCAAGCGUUGUUCGGAAUUACUGGGCGUAAAGGGCGCGUAGGCGGCCUUCUAAGUCAGACGUGAAAUCCCCAGGCUUAACUUGGGAACUGCGUCUGAUACUGGAAGGCUUGAGUGCGGGAGAGGGAUGUGGAAUUCCAGGUGUAGCGGUGAAAUGCGUAGAUAUCUGGAGGAACACCGGUGGCGAAGGCGGCAUCCUGGACCGACACUGACGCUGAGGCGCGAAAGCCAGGGGAGCAAAC